AUGGGUUCUCUCAUGUGCUGUUUCCAACAGGCAACCAGUCCAGAUUGGAGCGGGAAGGUGGAGGACUCCAGCAGGGAGGGAGCUGGAGAAUAUGGACUCAAGAAAUUUGAUCUCCUGGAGAAUUUAGAAAAAGUUAAAGAGGUAAUGAAAGCCUUGUUCCCUUCUGAAAAACCAUUGUCUUUCAUUUCUAAAAAAUUGCUUCAAAAUCUUUUCCUGAUGAAUCUACACUACCAUUUUCUCCUCUUCUCUGUAUCCAUUCAAGGAAGUGCUCAGGAGAUGGAUCUCUCAGAAGAGCCUACCUACUCAGAACUUGGAGGUGUCACCAGGCGCAGUGGCUCAUGCUUGUAAUCCCAGCACUUUGGGAGACAGAGGUGGGUGGAUUGUUUGAGCUCAGGAGCUUGACACCAGCCUGAGCAACAUGGUGAAACCCCGUGUCUACCAAAAAUACAAUAAUUAGCCAGGCAUGGUGGCCUGCAUCUGUAGUCCCAGCUACUCUGGAGGCUGAAGUAGGAGGAUCGCUGGAGCCUGGGAAGUUGAGGCUGCAGUGAGCCAUGAUUGCACCUCUGCAUUCCAGUCUGGGUGACAGAGCAAGACCCCUGUCUCAAAAAAGAAGAAAAAGGA
This 621-nucleotide long non-coding RNA is filed under the name Piliocolobus tephrosceles (Ugandan red Colobus). Its description in RNAcentral is "lncRNA (ENSPTEG00000020205.1)". The record is from RNAcentral. Lineage: Eukaryota; Metazoa; Chordata; Mammalia; Primates; Cercopithecidae.